RNAcentral lists this long non-coding RNA (4394 nucleotides) under Musa acuminata (dwarf banana). RNAcentral describes it as "long non-coding RNA (MACU_LNC008357)". The record is from RNAcentral. Lineage: Eukaryota; Viridiplantae; Streptophyta; Magnoliopsida; Zingiberales; Musaceae.
CUGCUUGAACUUCUCCUAUCGCCAAGGAUAUGUUAGACGCUUGCUGAGCUCUUUAUGCUCACCCCGUUGCUAUAUAAUUUUUUUCAGGGUAGCUUGUCACGCACUGAAAAGCUAGAAUUGGGUUAAAGCAGUGAAAGGCUAGAAGAUUUUUGAGCUAAUCUUUGUUAGAUGAUAGGUUUUUGUUGUAUAGUAUACUUUACUUCUGAUGUAAUGUUAAGGAAUCUGUUGAUACUUAUGUGUUGUAAAAGUUUAAAGGACCGCUCAUGUGUAUGGAAUGAUAAGUUUAAGUUGUAUAAGGAUAAGAACUCAUGGUAAAUAAUUAUUUUUUUUAUGAUUAUAUAUAUUUCUAUGAUUAUGGAUUUGUGUUGUGGUUGAUGUUUAGUUGAGUUGCCUUUAGAUUUUGUGAAUCUUUGAGUGAAGUGGAUUAUGAUUUAUGUAACUUACAGGUUUAUGAAUUAUGAAUAUUGACUUUUGAAUGAUUCUUAGUAUCCUCAAAUUGUUAGAUUGGAUCCUGGAUUGAAUUGAUGAUGAAUUAUAAUAUUAUUGAUUUUAGACAGGGUCACACCUCCUGAAUGUGAUAAUUCGGGGGGGUGUGACAGAGUUGGUAUCAGAGCAUGGUUUGAGGAUCACUGAAAUAUUUGAUAUGUUGACGGGCAAAAUAUAUUGAGGUCUAGUGAACUAUAGUGAUCGGUGGAAAUUUUCUUUGAUGCAUUUUAGGAAUUUAGGAUGAUGAGGACAUUUGGUCCUCCUAUUUCAUUUAUUUCUAAUUAAUUAAGGGGGAUGAAAGGGUUGAUCGAAGAUACUAAAUCAGAGUAGAGCAAUGAAAGCAUGGUAGACCUAAUUUCAUUGGUGGUAGAAAAAUGGAUGAUGCAAACGGAGAAUAUAUUUGAUGUACAAAAUUGUUCUGAUGGUCGAAAUAUUUCUUUUGCCAUCUUAUAUUGGAAGGAGAGGCUGAGCACUAGUGGCGAACCAUGAAGAGGAUUUCUGAAGCUCGAUAGGAGCCAAUCACUUGGAAGGUAUUUAUAGAAAAGUUCAAUGAUAAAUAUUUUCCAGAUUGUAUCAGAGAGCAGAAAGAAUUGGAGUUCUUGAAUCUCAUCUAGGGAAAUUUGACAGUAGCCAAAUAUGAGUCUAAAUUCACCGAGCUCUCUAGAUUUGCCACACAUAUGAUUGAUGAUGAAUAUAGGAAAGCAAGAAGAAUUGAAAGAGGAUUAAGGCUGACAAUAAGAAGCCGAAUAUCAGCUUUAAAACUCCAAGUAUACACUGAUGUAGUAGAAAGAGCUUUCAUACUUGAAAAAGACUUGGAGGAGAUCCAAGAAAUCAGGGACAAGAAUAGCAAGGAUAAGUUUGUUGGUAAAAGUAAGAGAGGAAAUGAAGCAGAAAGAAGUAACGAGAAGAUAAAGGUACCUAGAUUUGAGAAAGGAACCCCAUCGCAAAGAACUCUAUCCUGUACAAAAUGUGGACGUAAUCAUGAAACAAGUGAGUGUUUUCGGGUGACUGGAGCCUGUUUUGCCUGUGGAAAGUUAGAUCAUAAAGUCAGAGACUGCCCACUAAACAAGAAGAAAGAGCCACUACUCCUUAAGCCGACAGCUCAUGCUAGAGUAUAUGCUAUCACAGAACAAGAUUCCAGAGCCUCUAAAUCAGUGGUUGAAGGUAUUCUACAUGUUUCUAAUAGAAAUGCAAAAGUUUUGUUUGAUCCUGGCUCUAACUUGUCUUUUGUUUCACAAUAUUUUGCUUGUCACUUGGGCAUUCAACCUAAACCACUGGAUUAUUUGCUACACGUAACUACUGCUGUUGGGGUUUCCUUGACUACAAAUCUGGUUUAUCCUCAUCUUUUCGCCGAAAGAGGUAUGACAAAUUUAGAGGACUAAAUUUUAUUUCAAGGAGGGGAGAGUGUAACAUCCCCCAUUUUUGAAAAAUUAGUAAAAUAUUUGUUUGUAAAAAUAAGGAUUAUUUAAUAAUUAUUUUAUAUUAAAUAAUAUUAUAUUAAAGUUGAUGGCUAAGGACCUAAGAGUAAAUACUAAAAUUUUGAUAUGAUUUAUAGAAUAUUCAGAAUUGAGUAAAUAAAAAUAAAAUAAAAUAAAAUAGAGGACAUGUGUCAUUAACAAGGAUGAGCCACUUGCAUUUAUUCUAAAGUUGAUUCCUAAACCCCCAUGAAUGCUUGCCACCUCACUAUUUUAGCAUGAGCCAAACCUAUGUAAUUUAAGACACCAUAAAAAAGAAAGUUUGCAGCCUACGUUAGUUUGAGGAGAAGAAGAAGAAGAGGAAACUUUGUUUGAGGUUUUGCAUCAACUCCCUAUAUUUGGGAAUCAAACUCAUCUAAGGCAAGGGUUCUAACCUCUUCCUACAGAAUUCCUAAUCUUUGUUUUCCUUUUAAUACUUCAUAAUUCAAAAGAUUUCAGCUUAGUACCAAACCAUUCUUUCCUUUUGAUACAAAGCCAUGAAUCUGAAAUUUUCGGUAAUCUGACUUCUAUACAUUGUUCUAGAUCUAACUUUUAGCACUAAACUUUGAUUUAGGCAAAGCCUAAUCCAUUUGAAAGUAGACUCAAAUAUCUUUAUUUUGACACUGAGAUUGAAUGAUUUGAAUUUUAAAUGCCAACUAAGACUUCUGUUUCCAUUAAUCCUACAAAUUCUGCAAAAUAGGGACUGAAAUUUCUGACAUUCUGUUACUAAAUUGCUCAUAACUCUCUAGUGAAAAUUCUGAAUUAUGCAAAACUUAGUUCUUUUGAAAUUAGAUUCUCCUAUCUUUCUUUUGAUAUGUAGUUUAGUAAUUUUGAAGUACGUUUUCCUUCUGAAACAUCUGUUUAAAUUGACUCUAUCAAUUAUGCAAAACAGAGAUGAUCAAUUCUGACCUUCUAUUAAUAAAUUGCUCAUAACUCUCUAGUGAAAAUUCUGACUUAUACAAAAUUAGUUCUUUGGAAACUAGAUUCACAUAUCUUUCUUUUGGCAUAUAAUUUAGAAAUUUUGAAGUAUGUUUUUCUUCUGAAACAUCUGUUUAAAUUGAUUCUAUCAAGUUUGCAAAAUAGGGAUGAUCAAUUCUGACCUUCCUUUACUCUAUUUGUUGUAACUUACUGUUAGGAACUAAAAAAAUUAUAAAUCUGAGUUCAUACGAAAAUAGAUUGAUACAGCUUUCCAAUGACAUCUAUUUUUAGUGAUUUGGAGCAUGCUUGGUCACUCAAAAAAUUCAGGAAAUGUACCAUUCAAAUUCUAUCAGAAUUGAAAACUUUGUUGGGUUUUGCCUAUUCAAUUUUCAUCCUAUUGGAAAUUUGAUUUCUGCUAAAUUCUUCUUCAAUUGAGCAUUAUACUAGUCCUUUGAAAUUCUUGUAUUGUUCAUCCUAAAGUUGUUAUAUAUCUGAAAUUUAUUAUGUAAUGCUUUGUAUGCAUUACCUUGUUUGAUAAAGGCACAUGCAUAUCUUCGUUGUUCCGUAUGUGCUUCUGAUAUGUACCAAUGUUAUUAUUCAUACUACCCUUUUUGUACUCUGGUGUCUUGUGGGAUAUUGUGAACCUUUGCAAUAAAUGGUAAAGGGAGUUAUGCUUAGAGCAUGCGAUUGCUCUGCCGACCUCAUUGACUUCACUCAGACGUGGGUGGAUGGAGCUCCCAAACGUGGGAGACUUAUGCUUGGUGGUCAUCCAGAAAUGGAUGAAUCACAUUAUGUAUGUGGUCCCACAGUGCCCUCUAUGUUUAUUGAUAUGAUAUCCAAAGCUUUAUUUAUGAGUUCAUAUUAUGCUUUGGAUAAAAAUGGAAUGCAUGCUACAUCAAAAAUGUCGUACAAGCUUGUGUUUAUUAUUCGGUUCACUUGUUAUACUUUGAAGUGUUUUGUUUGUCAUUAUCAUGCCUCCAAACACUCUUACGCCUUUGAUAUACGCCUAAAUGCUUCAUGUGCUAUUUGAUACAUGCCUAAAUAUUUUUUUUGCCAAUGAAAUGCUCCAAUUUUCCCUUCUCCUGUUGUUAUAUCUAAUGCUUAUUUUUGAAUGAGGUAAACCUUUGCGAUUUUAUAUCAAAUGAGAUAAUUUCAAAUGAACACUUGUAUUUCUACUUUUGUAUCUUGAUACUAAGCCUGCUUCAACUUCUUCUAUCGCUAUGGAUAUGUUAGACGUUUGCUGAGCUCUUUAUGCUCACCCCGUUGCUAUAUAAUUUUUUUCAAGGUAGCUUGUCACGCACUGAAAAGCUAGAAUUGGGUUAAAGCAGUGAAAGGCUAGAAGAUUUUUGAGCUAAUCUUUGUUGGAUGAUAGGUUUUUGUUGUAUAGUAUACUUUACUUCUGAUGUAAUGUUAAGGAAUCUGUUGAUACUUAUGUGUUGUAAAAGUUUAAAGGACCGCUCAUGUGUAUGGAAUGAUAAGUUUAAGUUGUAUAAGGAUAAGAACUCAUGGUAAAUAAUUAUCUUUUUUGUGAUUGUA